RNAcentral lists this ribosomal RNA (484 nucleotides) under uncultured bacterium. RNAcentral's name for it is "partial 16S ribosomal RNA". It matches the Rfam family "Bacterial small subunit ribosomal RNA", at positions 30 to 507 of the family's 1533-position model. The record is from RNAcentral.
AUUGAACGCUGGCGGCAGGCCUAACACAUGCAAGUCGAGCGGAUGAAGGGAGCUUGCUCCUGGAUUCAGCGGCGGACGGGUGAGUAAUGCCUAGGAAUCUGCCUGGUAGUGGGGGAUAACGUCCGGAAACGGGCGCUAAUACCGCAUACGUCCUGAGGGAGAAAGUGGGGGAUCUUCGGACCUCACGCUAUCAGAUGAGCCUAGGUCGGAUUAGCUAGUUGGUGGGGUAAAGGCCUACCAAGGCGACGAUCCGUAACCGGUCUGAGAGGAUGAUCAGUCACACUGGAAAUGAGACACGGGCCAGACUCCUACGGGAGGCAGAAGUGGGGAAUAUUGGACAAUGGGCGAAAGACUGAGCCAGACAUGCGGCGUGUGUGAAGAAGGUCUUCGGAUUGUAAAGCACUUUAAGUUGGGAGGAAGGGCAGUAAGUUAAUACCUUGCUGUUUUGACGUUACCAACAGAAUAAGCACCGGCUAACUUCGUG